Molecule: long non-coding RNA, 1824 nt
Organism: Panthera uncia (snow leopard)
Lineage: Eukaryota; Metazoa; Chordata; Mammalia; Carnivora; Felidae
Exons: 4
Source: RefSeq, a predicted model, not a curated record
AAAAAUUUUUUUCUAAUGUUUAUUUUUGAGAGAGGGAGAGAGAGAGUACAAGCUGGGGAGGGGCAGAGAGAGAGAGGAAGACACAGAAUCUGAAGCAGGACCCAGGCUCUGAGCUGUCUGCACAGAGCCUGACUCGGGGCUGGAACUCACCAACCGUGAGAUCAUGACCUGAGACGAAGUCGGACGCUCAACCGACUGAGCCACGCAGGCACCCCAUAAAUAAACUUUUUAAAGAAAAUGAGAUCAUCAGUAUUGAAAUAAAAAUAAUUAUACAGGAAAGCAAUUAUACAUGAACACCUAAGCUAUGCGCCUAAACUCAACUUGCACACUUUAGACAGAAGAGUGCAAAAGUUAAUUACAGGCGAUCUUCGAAUUAGGAAUUCAGACCUAAAAUAAAAUAGUGCCCUAUAAUAACAAAAUGCCACUACUUACAAACAGUUUAUGUCAAUGAAAAGGCGAACAGUCGGGAAUGUAGACAGAUACAUGCUUCCUUAGGUUUCUUACCCAAGUGCACUCAACAGGAACAGGAACAAUAGGCCACCCAGUGGUAGCUAAGGGCAUUACCUCUGUCUCUCUGUCUCUCUGUAUCUCUCUUUCUCACACACACACAAUGCAGAAAGUUUCACAAUUAUCAUGGUAUAUAAUAAGGACACAAUUUUGAGAAAGAUAAUUUAUUCCUUUCCCUCUUUUUGAGGCGUGACUUACACAUAUCUUUAAGGGUUCAACUGGCUUAAUUUUUACAUAUGUUACAUACGCAUAAAUUUAACUACCACCCAGGUUAACCUAUAAAACAUUCCCAGCUCCUCAGAAGUCUCUCUUUUACCCUCCCUCUCACAACCCCCAAAAGGUAAUCAUUAUUCUACCUGUCAUUAUGCAUGUAUUUAGUUUAGUCUGUUUUUUGAACUCAUACAUGAAAUCACAGAGUAUAUAUUCUUUUUACGUCUGACUUCUUUUGUUUAACAUCACAUCUGUCAGAUUCACUCAUAUUGCUGUUUGUUGCAAUAAUCUGUUCUCAUUGCUAUUAUUAUUGCCAAUAUUGUUAGUAUGCUAGUAUUCUAGUAUAGAUAUAUACAUAUACGGUUGAUAUGUUCUACUGUUGGUAAACUUUUGGGUUAUUUUUUAGUUGGGGUUAUUAUGAAUAAAUCUGUUACUAACAUUUUCAUACGUGUCUUUUGGCAAAAGUAAGCAUUCAUUUUUGUUGAGUACGUCUCCAGGAUUAAAAUCACUGAUUCAUAAACUGGGCCAGCUACAUAAUCUGCAGGGCUCAGUGCAAAAUGAAAAUGCAAGGCUUCUUGCUUAAAAGGGCAAGUUCUGGUUCUGGUGGAAACGAGGCUCCUUGGGGAAGUCAGCAGCACCCAUACACCCUGUACUCCUUUGAGUGACCGCUCAGGCGUGGGCUGCGCAGAAUUUGGUGCUCGCGGGCAUGGUGUUAUGCUGUAGGUGACUGAGGCAGCAAAGAACAAUGGCAGACCCACAGGCUAUAGCUACCUCCCUGCUCAGCUCUUGGAUUGGUUUGUUAGUGCUGCCGUCACAAAGGAUACGUGGCCAGUACUCCUUAAGACCGCCAUGGUCAUGCAAAACACAGAAAAAUUGAGAAAAUAUCACAGACCAGAGGAGACUGAGGAAACAUGUCAACAUGGUACCCUACAUUGGAUCCUGGAACAGCAAUGGAAAGAAAAUCAGAGAAAUCCAAAUACAGUCUGAAGUUUACUGAACAGUAAUAUGCCAGUGUGACUUGCUUAGUUUAGAAAAUUUACUGUGGUAAUGUAACUGGGUGAGAAGUAUGCAAAUUCCUUGUACUGCCUUUGCAAAUUUUCUGUACAA